AGAUGAAAUUAUAUUUAAAUAUUCUGGCCUAUUACGAGUUGUUUUAAUGCAAAAACGUUAUAUUUUGGAAAGCUUGAAACGCAAUUAAAAUGUUAGUCAAAUGUAGUGAAGACAGCAAUUUACAACUUACCCUGCUACUCACACAAAAACACAUGCACCGUGCAUGCAUAUAUGGGAAGGCAUCGACUUGAAAUUCUCCUAAGUGCAAACAAUGCAAAUGACAAACUCACAUUUUAUGUUCAAAAUUCGAGUCAGCAGCUGAGAAAUAUUCGUAAGUCAAAUUGAAAUUCAUGUGUGACAUUUGCUGCAUAUAAAUGGGGGCGUGUUUGUAUAUGUUUCUUGACAAACUGUUUACCAGUGAUGCGACUGUGUCGCAUUCUUACAAGGCAAAUGAAAAUAAAAUGAAACUCACAUAAAACAAUGCAAUAUACUUUAUUAAUUAUAUAUAUAAGUUAUAUAAGCAAUGAUUUGUCAUAUUCUU
Molecule: long non-coding RNA, 481 nt
Organism: Drosophila montana
Lineage: Eukaryota; Metazoa; Arthropoda; Insecta; Diptera; Drosophilidae
Exons: 3
Source: RefSeq, a predicted model, not a curated record